RNAcentral lists this ribosomal RNA (373 nucleotides) under uncultured bacterium. Its description in RNAcentral is "bacterial SSU rRNA". It matches the Rfam family "Bacterial small subunit ribosomal RNA", at positions 525 to 896 of the family's 1533-position model. The record is from RNAcentral.
ACGUAGGGUGCGAGCGUUAAUCGGAAUUACUGGGCGUAAAGCGUGCGCAGGCGGUUUAGUAAGACAGGCGUGAAAUCCCCGGGCUCAACCUGGGAACUGCGCUUGUGACUGCUAAGCUAGAGUACGGCAGAGGGGGGUGGAAUUCCACGUGUAGCAGUGAAAUGCGUAGAGAUGUGGAGGAACACCGAUGGCGAAGGCAGCCCCCUGGGCCGAUACUGACGCUCAUGCACGAAAGCGUGGGUAGCAAACAGGAUUAGAUACCCUGGUAGUCCACGCCCUAAACGAUGUCAACUAGGUGUUGGGAGGGUAAAACCUUUUAGUACCGGAGCUAACGCGUGAAGUUGACCGCCUGGGGAGUACGGCCGCAAGGUUA